UAAUAGAUCGCGGCGAGUGCCUUUCGGGGCCAGAUGAUUGGUUAGGCCAGUUAGUUAAAGCCCAAGGGGAUAUACGGAAAGGCCGCAUGUCCACUCCUCUUGGGUUUUGCUAG
Molecule: non-coding RNA, 113 nt
Organism: Vibrio sp. MEBiC08052
Lineage: Bacteria; Pseudomonadati; Pseudomonadota; Gammaproteobacteria; Vibrionales; Vibrionaceae
Source: Rfam